CCUUCGGGUGGCAGCAGUGGGGAAUAUUGCACAAUGGGGGAAACCCUGAUGCAGCGACGCCGCGUGAGUGAAGAAGUAUUUCGGUACGUAAAGCUCUAUCAGCAGGGAAGAAAAAAAGUCCUUUGGACUUUGGACGGUACCUGACCAAGAAGCCCCGGCUAACUACGUGCCAGCAGCCGCGGGAAUACGUAGGGGGCAAGCGUUAUCCGGAUUUACUGGGUGGAAAGGGAGGGUAGACGGCAGCGCAAGUCUGGAGGGAAAUGCCGGGGCCCAACCCCGGAACUGCUUUGGAAACGGUGCAGCUGGAGUGGGGGAGAGGUAAGCGGAAUGCGUAGUGUAGCGGUGAAAUGCGUAGAUAUUAGGAGGAACACCAGUGGCGAAGGCGGCUUACUGGACUGUAACUGACGUUGAGGCUCGAAAGCGUGGGGAGCAAACAGGAUUAGAUACCCGAGUAGUC
RNAcentral lists this ribosomal RNA (457 nucleotides) under uncultured bacterium. RNAcentral describes it as "partial 16S ribosomal RNA". It matches the Rfam family "Bacterial small subunit ribosomal RNA", at positions 338 to 795 of the family's 1533-position model. The record is from RNAcentral.